UACGUAGGGGGCAAGCGUUGUCCGGAAUCAUUGGGCGUAAAGAGCGCGUAGGCGGCCAACUAAGUCAUACGUGAAAUCCCUCAGCUUAACUGGGGAACUGCGUGUGAUACUGGAUGGCUUGGAUUUGGGAGAGGGAUGCGGAAUUCCAGGUGUAGCGGUGAAAUGCGUAGAUAUCUGGAGGAACACCGGUGGCGAAGGCGGCAUCCUGGACCAAUAUUGACGCUGAGGAGCGAAAGCCAGGGGAGCAAACGGG
This 253-nucleotide ribosomal RNA is filed under the name uncultured bacterium. RNAcentral describes it as "partial 16S ribosomal RNA". It matches the Rfam family "Bacterial small subunit ribosomal RNA", at positions 524 to 776 of the family's 1533-position model. The record is from RNAcentral.